Long non-coding RNA from Petromyzon marinus (sea lamprey), 4502 nucleotides. RefSeq lists it as uncharacterized. Lineage: Eukaryota; Metazoa; Chordata; Hyperoartia; Petromyzontiformes; Petromyzontidae. The record is from RefSeq and is a predicted model, not a curated record.
AACUCUUAAGGGUAUUUGGUCUACUCUUUCACAUAUUGGGAGAUGUGGGCGUACCCACAUUUUAAACCGAACUGAACGUAGACAUUAGAAGAGAAAUGUACCUUUCUCACGCAAGAUUAUCACCGUUGCACGUGACGGAAUGACUGCCAGCUCCAAAGAGGCACAUGUUUGCAAUGUCUCAAGGUUUAACAUUUUUACAUUUACGACUCAGGUCUCCAACGAUAAACACAACUGGCUCAACUCGAAAAUGCUGUAAAGUCAGAGGAAUCAGCGCAGAGAUAAUGAAAAAUGAAAGUGUGACGAACCGAUUUACGCGCGCGUGGUUUUCGCAUUGAGCAACGCUGCAGGCCACCGUGAUGAAUUAUUCUUCCGAGCUUCGGCGUUCUUGGUUGUUUUCUCAAGGCUAAGUCUGCGCUUUGUCAGUAAACCCAUAACAAAUCGCACGCAGCGCAAAAAAAAAGCAUCCGAUUAAAAAAGGCGGCGGCAUAAAUGUUCUUAACGUAUUGCGUGCUCUAGCCUGGCUACAAUUCCCAGACUCCCCCUAGUUGGUGCUCAUUACAUCCUGGGUCAAGGGUCGCCUGGUCCCUCUCUCCCCAAGGGUUAAAAACAUCACAGCAUCACAACAUUCUUACCCCUAGCCCGCGACCCCCUCCACGGCCCCCCUGGGCGCCCUCGCCUCCCCCCGCAGCGGAGCCGCGCGGCGACCUCGCCGCGACCCCGAACACGGUCACAGCGCCGCUGCCGCAAUGACGACGCUACGACGACGACGCCGCGACGACGACGCCGCGACGACGACGAUGACGCUGUGACGACGACGACGACGACGACGAUGAUGACGCCGACGAGGUGCGUCGCACACGGGCGGAGCGGUGCCUCUUCUCGUGGCGGGGGGCAAGCUGGGCUCCGGCUCCCCCGAGAGAAGCCGCGUCCCGCCUCCGCUCGGGGGAUGGUGAAAGAGGUGAAGGUGAAGAGAGCCGUGUAAAUUAUGGAGCGGCUCUGGAGCGCGCGUCAUCAUCGUGAGCGAGUGACUCGACCGUUCGGCGCCGAGCUUCUGGACCGCCCGCAACACGGCACUGACGAGGAGCUGGACGUCGUGGAUCAACACUCAGCGUCGUGGAUCAACGCUCAGCGUGGCGACUGUUGGUGCCGCUCUUCUGCCCAAAAACUAUUCGAACUUAUUGCCAUGCUAUUCAAAAAAUAUAUAUAUUAUUAAACUAUUAUAUCCUUUGCCAUGUUUUUACUUAAGAAUUAUGCUCUUUCUCUAGUUCACUCAUACGCAAGAAUAUUCUUUUUUUCUGUGUCCACAGGAGGCAAUUAUCCGAUGAUAUGUUGCAGUUCCAUGGAGUGUGCGCACUGUAUGAGGACCGCUGACACCACGGAGUGCGCACGCCUCUCCGGCGAGAGAGCCAAGAUGGAUUGCCUGUGCCACGUGCCUCGCCGUUUACCCGGGUCCCAUUCUUUACGAACUCCAGGGACUGCUCCGCUGGGAAAUUCAUAACCCACGUCACACCACUGUGCGUGUGCUCAUGUGUGCGCUCGUGUGUGCGUGUGUGCUCGUGCGUGUGUGUGCGUGAGAGUGUGUGUGCUCGUGUGUGUGCUCGUGCGUGUGUGUGCGUGAGAGUGUGUGUGCUCGUGCGUGUGCUCGUGCGUGUGCUCGUCUGUGUGCGCGUUCGUUCUUGAGAGAGAGUGCGGCUCAGCAGCGUAGCGGUCAGCGCUCUGCACAGCGAACCCAACGACCCAAGUUCGAAUCUCGCUCGCCGCCAACAUCAGAGGGAAAUAUCUGAACUGAUUCUGGGCCUCCCAUAAGUCAACUCAGCCUUAAAUGAGUGCAUAAUGUGUUGUGUAAGCAUUAGGGUUGGAGGACACAAAGGCAGCCGGGUGUGGUGCUGGCUACACCAUCACCUCGUGUGCCGUGCCGGCCUUCGUAGGUGCUCGCUAACGACACUUGCCCCAACAGCCAGUGUAGGCUACACAAGAGAUUUGUGUCUUUGUGUCAGAUUACGUAAUUAUAUAUAUGCAUUCAUACGUACGUUUCGUUAAGUUGGCAGAGUGGUCAGCUCACAACCUCAUAGUUGCAAUAAUCAUAUCCUGUCUAGAUUUGAAGUCUAGAAAUGUAUUUUAUUUUAUACCUACGUGACUUUACCGAAAGAACCAAAGAGUAAUCAUAUCCUGGUCGGGGCCGGGAAAUUAGGUACCACUUAUUCACCCAGGGCUAUUGAGUUUAUGAGAGUAGCAUUGCUAAUUUUGAACUUUUUUGGCAAUUAAUAUUUCAUUAAAAGGUAAUUCUUAAUCCACUAAUCCAGGGAAUACUACUGCACUCAGCAGCUUAACUGUCAGAAAAUGACCGCCAGCCUACACAGCUGUUCCUAAUUCUCCAGAAAACCUUCACGUUUUGUGAACCGCUGAGUAAAUAUCCACAAGCUUGUACCACGACUUUCAUCAUGACAUCUUAAUUUAAUUUGCGCUCUCCAAUCAUUCUCACUUAAGUCUCACACAUGGGUACUGAUGUCUCUGCAACGUCAACGUGACGUGAUUGUCCUUCGUGGAGGACUUUUCCCCGCCUGACUUUCCUUCGGACUAACUUUCCUUCGACUAGCCUUUCUGUGGCUGACUCUUCCGUCACUGACUUUCCUGUACCGGCACUGACCUCAAGGUCGUUGAAGAACAAGUGUGUGUCGGCCAGGUUGAAGAUCAUCUCCUCCAUCCUGAGCCCAAGGGAGACGGACGUCGGAGGGUCCUGGAACGAACGCAAGCGGCACGUCAGUCACCCGGGGUGGGGGCUGUCUCCUGUCCACAGUGGAGAAAGGGCAGGCCUGGGAGAUGCCCCCACUGCCCCGGGGGCCCCUUGGGAGACGCCAUCAUCGAUGUAUCAUUUUGUGUCGUUUUUGUCAUCUCAUUUCGAUGUUCCCUCGUUAUUUCAGGCUCCUUUGUAAUAGUUUUGUUCACUCUGUGAGCUGAAAGUUAACAUUAGCGUGUCCGUUGCAAAUAUUUUUUCAUAAACUGUAAAAAAAAAAUCGUGCACACGAUUUGGCGAAUGUAUCACGGAUGUAAAAAAUAUGUUUUACCUGAUGCAUCGUUAAACGGCAAGUCCUCGUCAAGGGCACUAGUCUCAUUGGUCUGCGAGGAGGACGAGUAUUUGCGAUUUGCCCGUGGCCGUGCGGGAAGAUGUUCGUUCGGAUGGAAACCAAAUGAGUUUAACAAACGCCGGGUGGGGGAAUAACGGAAAAAACGAAAAAUAAUCGGUGAGAGCGGAGCAUAUUUACGGUGUCCUCGGAAGCAGCGCAUGGCUGGUCACAACCAAAUAAACACGCGGGAAUUUACGGGAAGGGCUGACAUUUCUAAUUAAACCCGCAGGUUGGAGGCCUCUGGCCAGCCCAUGCAAAACACCUAAAAAACAUCCCUGCCGUUGGAGAGUGUAAAUCUGUCACCGGUCAACCCUAAGGGUCAAAAAUGAGGUUCUGCUUCAAGAGCGCCGGGCCAAACUAAAGGCAACAACAUUCCAAAUAGCAGAGAGAGUGAGGGGUGCAUAAGUCAAUGUACAACUCUAGCUUGCAGCAACCAAUCCUUCUCUCUUAAUAAAUGUUUUAAAAACAAAUCUCUAAGUUAUGUCAGGGAGCACGUAACAUUAUUAACAAUACCUUUUCAUUGCAAUAUUUUUUGCUCACAGCGGCACCAGCGUGCACAAAAGACCGUGUAAAACAUUUCUACCCAAUGUGAACAAAUGUGUUCUUUUGCCCCAGGUUUCUAACCUGCGGUGUGGAUUGCAGCUGCAUCCCUAUAGGAGGACAGCUCCAAGCCUAUGUAAGCUACAAAAUUAACUAGACAGUACAAAUAAAACUCUAGAGCUGGACAAACACGGCCUGCGAAACGCGAAGCAUCCGUCCGGUAUAUCCCGUGUCCGCGUUUGCAAACAUCGCAGGUAAUCAUCAUGAUAACAGUCUCGUUGCACGAACGUUGGCGGGUUUUUAUAAUAAUGCUGGACGUAAAUUUAGCGGGAUUGCUUGGCUUCGCAUGCGUGCGCGCCGUUUUGAGUAUCGUUCAAUUCUGCGCAUUCCACGGACAAUAUUUGACCCAUGACUCAGAGGGUGAAUCAUAACCAGCAAGCCGCGGUGUGCGUGCCGCUCCGACGAGGACACGCGUUCGCAGCAGGAAAGACGAUUUGGCUGUUACUCCAGCGUGAUGGGUUUUUUUUACGCCAGCGAAUAACCUGAAACCAAAAUUCCAAGCGCAUUAACGGCACGUCACGCAACGGCACUUACGCAAACCCUGGGCACGCGCGAGUUGCGUGGACUUAAGUUUGGAGGGUGGCACGGGUGGCGUACACUCACGAAUAUCCACGCUCUGACUUUACAGCCAUGUGUGCGCGUGUCGGAACAGGAAAAGCAAACGUGUGGGUGCACACGUGUGGUUUGCGUGGUAACGGUCCAAUCACGUGCAUCUUACUUUGUGCAUAUGGGCUCGCACGUUUUAAAAAUACACAAUACAUUUACUUGAAAGCAGAA